GCUGCCUGACGCAUCUCCCCUUCCCGCACGGCCUUUCUCUCUCACUGUCGCUCCUCGAUUUCAUGUUGCCACCCACCACUGGCGCCCAGCUCCAGCGCGGCUACCAUGGCAGCUACAGCCGCCUGAUCAUUCGCACCUUCCUUCGACCAUCACCAUCGCCUGCAGACUUCGCCAAGCAAACGCUGCAAAGGCUUUCAUCAAAGGAUUAUAGAAUAUUUCAUCAAGUUGAUUAACAAGAAACAUGGAAAGAACAUCAGCAACCACAAUAGACCACUUGGAAAACUGAGGGAAGCUGAACGUGCCAAAAGAGCUUUAAGCAGCCAGCAGCAAGUUAGGACUCAUGCUUGAUUUGACGAGUUGAACAAUGACCUCUUUAGCAAAAACAUGGGACUUGUCAAGAAGGCUAUGGGGGAUGCUGGUUUGGAGAACCACCAGAUGCAUGAAAUUGUUCCUGUUAGUGGGGCUACCAGGAUCCCAAAAGUCCAAUAACUUCUCAAGGACUACUUUGAUGGAAAGGAACCCAACAAGAGUGUAAAACCAGAUGAAGCAGUGGCUUAUGGGGGUGGUGUUCAAGGAGGUAUUCUAAGCCGGAAAGGUGGUGAUGAAAGCAAAGAUAAAUGCUAUUCAUACUAGCUUUUGGAAGAUAUCUAUGG
This is a long non-coding RNA of Coffea arabica (coffee), 653 nucleotides long. RefSeq lists it as uncharacterized. The record is from RefSeq and is a predicted model, not a curated record. Lineage: Eukaryota; Viridiplantae; Streptophyta; Magnoliopsida; Gentianales; Rubiaceae.